GACGAACGCUGGCGGCGUGCUUAACACAUGCAAGUCGUACGGUAAGGCCCUUUCGGGGGUACACGAGUGGCGCACGGGUGAGUAACACGUGCGUAACCUGCCCACAACUUUGGGAUAACGCUAGGAAACUGGUGCUAAUACUGGAUAUGUGCUCCUGCUGCAUGGUGGGGGUUGGAAAGCUCCGGCGGUUGUGGAUGGACUCGCGGCCUAUCAGCUUGUUGGUGGGGUAGUGGCCUACCAAGGCGGCGACGGGUAGCCGGCCUGAGAGGGUGACCGGCCACAUUGGGACUGAGAUACGGCCCAGACUCCUACGGGAGGCAGCAGUGGGGAAUAUUGCACAAUGGGCGCAAGCCUGAUGCAGCAACGCCGCGUGCGGGAUGACGGCCUUAGGGUUGUAAACCGCUUUCAGCAGGGACGAAGCUUUUUGUGACGGUACCUGCAGAAGAAGCACCGGCUAACUACGUG
This 465-nucleotide ribosomal RNA is filed under the name uncultured bacterium. Its description in RNAcentral is "partial 16S ribosomal RNA". It matches the Rfam family "Bacterial small subunit ribosomal RNA", at positions 28 to 507 of the family's 1533-position model. The record is from RNAcentral.